CCCAGUGAAGCCUGACCUGGAGUAGGCUUGCAGGGAGGCCCCAAGCAAGCAAGCAAACAAGCAAGGAGGCAGGUAGGCAGAGUGGCCCCCACAGCUCUCUGCAGCAGACCCUCUGCCCAGCCCAGCAUUUGCCAGUUGCAGCAGCAAGUCAGCUCUGUUUCCAGGUCUGCUGAGCGAGCGACGAAAUCCGAUCAGCAAGAAGAAACUCACAUACCACCAAACUCCAACUGUUGGGUUUUCGCUGGGAUUCUGGGAAGACGUCUCUUCCUAGCGCGGUAGAUAGCAUAGCAGAGGGCACAGGAUUCUGAAGGAAGCCCUUUAAAGCUCAGCUCCUCCUCCUGGUUGCUUCUGCUCUUGUGUUCACCAGACCCAAAAACUUUACAGCUGUUGUUGCCAUGCUGUUCUCUCUGUUGCUAUGAUCUGAAAGGUUUGAGUGUUUGCCAGACCAUGAUUCUCUCAAACGAACAGUAAUAAUGUUCAUUCCACAUGUAUUCCUUCCUCAGCAACAUGUGGACUGGUCUAGUCCUAGCCCUAGACAUUUUUUCAGAGCCGGCAACUAAACCUUGUUGAGAAGCUUACCCUCCCCCAUUCUACCAACAACAUCUCUUGAAUAGUUCUUCCCUUCACAUCUAUACAAACUUCUUGGCUCUUGGAAGAAGAAAGGUAGAAAGUGAACUAUCAAAUUUAUGGUGAGUUUUACAGUACAGCAGUAUAUGCA
Hemicordylus capensis (graceful crag lizard) is the source of this 718-nucleotide long non-coding RNA. RefSeq lists it as uncharacterized. NCBI's taxonomy places the organism in Eukaryota, Metazoa, Chordata, Lepidosauria, Squamata, Cordylidae. The record is from RefSeq and is a predicted model, not a curated record. The transcript is spliced from 4 exons.